ACAGCUUUUUGUGGCCGUUAAUUUGCUGCAUAAAUUGUGACCACUUCCAAGCUCUUGCUAUUUCCAGCUGUUUCCUCUCCUUUGCUCUUGCUCCUUUUGCUGUGUGCUGGCUGCACAUCUGACAAGGUUUAUCUGGGACUCCAGCACACGGCUCUGUUCCACAGCUGCCUGGCGCCUUCACUGGCCCCUGCUAGGGAGCAGCAGCUGUCUCCUCUAGAAGAAGGCUGCUCCGUCAUGCUGUUGCCUUGCUGGCCAUGGCACAAACACUGGUCUAAGCAUCUUGCAUCACGACCUGGUGCCUUGGGCUUUGCUCUGUCCCUAAGCCCAGAGGUGGGCCCUGCUCGGUGCCCAGCCCGGUGCUGCCUCUGCUCCACCUGCACCAACACCACACCGGGAGGCACUGAGCUGCAGCCUUGGGGAUGUGAAACCAGGCCACGGUAACCCUGCCAAAUGUGUCCACGGGCUGGGCUGUGCUCCUUCUCUUCCCACAGAGGAUGGUCCCACACAUUCACAGUUGGGAAAGGAAUUUCUCACCCUCCUUCCCCUGCCUGCUGUGGCCAGCUGCCCCUUGGAAAUGCCAGAGACGAGCCCAGCUGGUGAGGCCCAUCCCCUGCUUUGUUCCAGGUCCCUGAAAGCAUGUCAGCUAUUCUUCUCACCCCGCAUGGGGGCUUGGCCAUAGGGACCACAGCCCUGCCUCGCCAGGCCCCACACAGACCCACAGCCUGCAUCCCCCUGCCGCAGUGGGCUCGCAGGCUUGUCCUGCAGGGGCUUGCCCUGGCAGAGCCACCACAGGUUUCUGAAGUGCCAGGAGAAAGUCCUCCCCCUGCCAUCACAACCUUUGCACCUUGGGUGGAGGACCACAGAAAAAGGAUUUAGACGGGCCCACCAGAAAUCAUGUACA
Non-coding RNA from Anas platyrhynchos (mallard), 901 nucleotides. Lineage: Eukaryota; Metazoa; Chordata; Aves; Anseriformes; Anatidae. The record is from RefSeq and is a predicted model, not a curated record.